GGCUAGAGUUUGAUCAUGGCUCAGGACGAACGCUGGCGGCGUGCCUAAUACAUGCAAGUCGAACGAAACUUUCUUACACCGAAUGCUUGCAUUCACCGUAAGAAGUUGAGUGGCGGACGGGUGAGUAACACGUGGGUAACCUGCCUAAAAGAAGGGGAUAACACUUGGAAACAGGUGCUAAUACCGUAUAUCUCUAAGGAUCGCAUGAUCCUUAGAUGAAAGAUGGUUCUGCUAUCGCUUUUAGAUGGACCCGCGGCGUAUUAACUAGUUGGUGGGGUAACGGCCUACCAAGGUGAUGAUACGUAGCCGAACUGAGAGGUUGAUCGGCCACAUUGGGACUGAGACACGGCCCAAACUCCUACGGGAGGCAGCAGUAGGGAAUCUUCCACAAUGGACGCAAGUCUGAUGGAGCAACGCCGCGUGAGUGAAGAAGGUCUUCGGAUCGUAAAACUCUGUUGUUAGAGAAGAACACGAGUGAGAGUAACUGUUCAUUCGAUGACGGUAUCUAACCAGCAAGUCACGGCUAACUACGUGCCAGCAGCCGCGGUAAUACGUAGGUGGCAAGCGUUGUCCGGAUUUAUUGGGCGUAAAGGGAACGCAGGCGGUCUUUUAAGUCUGAUGUGAAAGCCUUCGGCUUAACCGGAGUAGUGCAUUGGAAACUGGAAGACUUGAGUGCAGAAGAGGAGAGUGGAACUCCAUGUGUAGCGGUGAAAUGCGUAGAUAUAUGGAAGAACACCAGUGGCGAAAGCGGCUCUCUGGUCUGUAACUGACGCUGAGGUUCGAAAGCGUGGGUAGCAAACAGGAUUAGAUACCCUGGUAGUCCACGCCGUAAACGAUGAAUGCUAGUGUUGGAGGGUUUCCGCCCUUCAGUG
This 872-nucleotide ribosomal RNA is filed under the name uncultured bacterium. RNAcentral describes it as "bacterial SSU rRNA". It matches the Rfam family "Bacterial small subunit ribosomal RNA", at positions 1 to 845 of the family's 1533-position model. The record is from RNAcentral.